GGGGUGCAAGCUCCGAACUGAAGCCCCAGUAAACGGCGGCCGUAACUAUAACGGUCCUAAGGUAGCGAAAUUCCUUGUCGGGUAAGUUCCGACCUGCACCGAAUGGCGUAACGACUUCCCCGCUGUCUCCAACGCAGACUCAGCCGAAAUUGAAUUCCCCGUGAAGAUGCGGGUUCCCGCGGUCAGACGGAAAGACCCCGUGCACCUUUACUACAGCUUCACACUGGCAUCAGGCCAGGCAUGUGCAGGAUAGGUGGCAGGCUUUGAAACAGGGACGCCAGUUCCUGCGGAGCCGUCCUUGAGAUAUCACCCUUGCCUUGCCUGAUGUCUAACCGCGGACCGUCAUCCGGUUCCGGGACCCUGUGUGGCGGGUAGUUUGACUGGGGCGGUCGCCUCCCAAAAAGUAACGGAGGCGCGCGAUGGUGGGCUCAGGUUGGUCGGAAAUCAACCGUCGAGUGCAAUGGCAUAAGCCCGCCUGACUGCGAGACUGACAAGUCGAGCAGAGACGAAAGUCGGCCAUAGUGAUCCGG
Molecule: ribosomal RNA, 530 nt
Filed under: Amaricoccus sp. HAR-UPW-R2A-40
Lineage: Bacteria; Pseudomonadati; Pseudomonadota; Alphaproteobacteria; Rhodobacterales; Paracoccaceae
Description: Bacterial large subunit ribosomal RNA
Rfam family: Bacterial large subunit ribosomal RNA
Source: Rfam by way of RNAcentral